This 292-nucleotide ribosomal RNA is filed under the name uncultured bacterium. Its description in RNAcentral is "partial 16S ribosomal RNA". It matches the Rfam family "Bacterial small subunit ribosomal RNA", at positions 505 to 796 of the family's 1533-position model. The record is from RNAcentral.
GUGUCAGCCGCCGCGGUAAGACAGAGGGUGCAAACGUUGUUCGGAAUUACUGGGCGUAAAGCGCGUGUAGGCGGCUUGGCAAGUCGGGUGUGAAAGCCCCGGGCUCAACCUGGGAAGUGCACUCGAAACUGCCUCGCUUGAGUGUCGGAGAGGGAAGCGGAAUUCUCGGUGUAGAGGUGAAAUUCGUAGAUAUCGAGAGGAACACCGGUGGCGAAGGCGGCUUCCUGGACGACGACUGACGCUGAGACGCGAAAGCGUGGGGAGCAAACAGGAUUAGAUACCCCUGUAGUCC